CCCCUCCCUUCCCCUGAGCCCUCUCUCUGCACUACUUAGUACCAAACGUCCCCGCCGCUGCCCGAUUCCAGAGCGCCUUAGCAAACGCGAUCGGUUCUCAGUUGCGCUGGCACCUUGCUUACGUGUUAUUUGUGCAUUCUCAUGUGUCCUUGUUUCUACCCCUCCUGAGAAGCACCGUCUUACACCCGCCUCAUCACUCAGAGAUGCCAGAAUUAAAAGACUCCACCCUAUGAAGGUUAUAUUGGAAGGGGAAAAAGUAUCGUGAUUAAGGACUAAGAUGGCAAGUAAUCCAAUAUAUGUUAAACACAUAUUUCCACAAUGAUCAUAGCAGCAAGAUUUUUUUAAAAGACUGGUAGCUCUCAUUCAGAAAUUGGAUUUCAACUUACAUCAAACAUCCUUGGAAAGAGAGAGUUUCCAGCGGUUGGUGGGAGCAUCCAACAACAUAAGAACAGGGUUGAUCACAG
This 464-nucleotide long non-coding RNA is filed under the name Sarcophilus harrisii (Tasmanian devil). RNAcentral's name for it is "lncRNA (ENSSHAG00000030801.1)". Lineage: Eukaryota; Metazoa; Chordata; Mammalia; Dasyuromorphia; Dasyuridae. The record is from RNAcentral.